AAAUAGAAUGAUCUCCAAAUAAAUUCUUAAUUGGUGGAGGGGGGUAGGUAGAAUCAAGCACAGAAAAUGUGCAUAGUAUGCUCCCAUAUGUAAUACAGUUAAUGGAUAUCUAUUACAUAAUGUUUCUAGAUUAUAUAAUAUUUCUAGGAGAAUGUGUAAGAAACUGUUGACAGCGGUUCCCUUUCGGUGUGGAUGGUUUGGGGACUAAAGGUCUGAAGUGAGAGGCAAACAUCUCAAUACCUUUUGUGCCACUGGAAUUUCUUUUACUGUGUUCAUAUUAAUUUUUUACUAUAAAAAGUAGUUUAAAAAUUUCUUGACCAGAUAACAGGGUGUUCUGAGAUUGAACUUUAAUAUUUCUCUGCCCUUGAUAGCAGGAAGCAGGGACACCACUGCCGGCCAUGGGUGGCCUGUGGCUCUGCAGCUGGAAGGGGGCAUUUGUACAAGCAGGUCAGGGAAGCUGCUGGAAGAUGCUCCUGGGGUAGGGAAGAGAGUACACCUGAGUCCUGGCUCAGGAAGCCAAGUGAGAUAAACGGAAUCUUGAUUGCAGAGAUUCAGCCUGAAAUGGCAAACUUCCGGUUGAGAAAUGUAAAAGCCCAUCCCGUGGUAUGGAGGAUUUAUCUUGAUAAAACUUGUGUGUGUGUGUGUGAAUAGAUUUUUAAAAAGGUUUCUGGUAGGUUGGGACACAAACCCUUUUCAGAGGCUGUGUGACUAAGGGGAGAAAGUACCUGGAGGAAGGGAUUGUGGACUAAGAAUAGGACAGCCAGCUGUAGUUUGUUUGUUUUCAGACAGAGUCUCACUCUGUCGCCCAGGCUGGGGUGCAGUGGUGUGAUCUCGGCUCACUGCAACCUCUGCCUCCCAGGCUCAAGCAAUUCUCUGCCUCAGCCUCCUGAGUAGCUGGGAUUACAGGCACCCACCCCCGUGCCCGGCUAAUAUUUUUGUAUUAUUAGUAGAGACGGGGUUUCAUCAUCUUAGCCAGGCUGUUCUUGAACUCCUGACCUCGUGAUCCACCCGUCUCAGCCUCCCAAGGUGUUGCAGGCAUGAGCCACCUCACCAGGCCACCAGCUGUAGUUUGUAAUCAGACAAUACAGCAUUUGGACUUUGUUUCCACAGACAAGAACAUGCCAUUACAGGUCUUACCCAAGAACAUCCUGAUUUGUUCAUCUCAAGGAUUGGGCUUUGUGCUAGUGAGCUGGUAUCCUGCUUGGAACCCAGAUCAAAGAGUUGUUUUGUUUAUGUGCAAGAGAUGGUGGGGAGGAGAGAAGACUUCACCUGUCCCAGGUAGAUGCCAGAUGGGGAGACCCCAGUCCUUCUCCAAGAAAGCUCUCAGCUGAUGAUGAACAGGGGAGGAGACAUAUGUCCUGCCCUCAGGAGCAUCUCAUUCAGAGGUCAAAGGCUAAGGAGCCCAGGGACUUAAUUUUGGAAUGCAAAGAAUCUUUGUGGAGCCAUAAGUCCCUGCCAAAAAAAAUUAAGAGGGCAAUCCUGGUCAACAUUGUGUGUUCAGCUAACCUCAAGCCCAGAUGUCUGAUCCAAGCACUAAGAAGAGAGAACUCAAAGGCCCAGGGUGGACCCUUUUUAUAAAAUGUCAGAGGCAAGAUAUAGAUAGGGGAAAGGCCUGAGAUGGCCUUCAGCGAACCCCCAUAGGGAAGCAGGCAGUGGGACCUUGGAACAGGCUCCAAGAUGAGACAGCAUGGGAGAUUGGGAUGGGGGCUCCAUCUGGCCCAAGCAGAGGGAGGGUCAGCUGGAGUAAGAGGAUCCGUGACUCUGGGGAAAGCCCUUAGAGACCCUCUGGUCUAACGCCUUCAUGAAGGAAACUGAGACCCAGAGUGCAGCAUGACUGAUUUGGUGUCUGAUGUCAGGACUGAGCUCUGUGCAUGGCUCAGACUCUAGCCUCCCAAUCCACGGGACCCCCUGCAGAAGGUCUACCUGUUGGGAAUUGGAGGCAUUGUUGAAGCUCUUGACCAGAAAACCAUGUACUCACUUCCUACCUAGCAACAUGCUCCUACUGAAUUCUACGGAAAGAGGGCCUCUCAAGACUCAUGGAGUGAUCAUACCAGACACUUAUCAUCACCUACCCAACAGCUCCUCCCACCGUUUUGUCCUGCCAGAGCCCAGAUUUUGUAGUGGGUGGAAAUAGCUUAAUUUGGGGAAACAUAGGCUAAUUCCCCAACCCCGAGAGAUGAGUCUUAAUUGGUCACAGUAUUCCAAUGGGACUCCAAUCCCCCUUUGUGAAUGAUGGGUCUAAGGGUAGGCAAGUGACCCACUUGUGGCCCAGAAGACAUAAAGGGAAGUCUGCAUGGGACUUCUGAGGAAGCUUUUACUUUCCUAGUAAAAGACAAAGAUGCAGUUGACACCAUCAUGCCCUCACCCCAUCCACCUUUCUGCCUUGAAGGAAAGCAGCUGUGUAUGUAGCCUGGGGGUCAAGCAUGGGGGUAAAAGUGUGAAGGCUUUAAGAUGACAGAGUGGACUAUGGAGCGCAAGUCCUUGGAGGCUGAAAUGAGCUGUUGGGCCAAUGCCAGCAACCAUCUACCUACAGACUUCCUGAAAAGUAAACAUUAAUUGACCUUCUGGUUUAAGCCACUGUUUGCUGGGCCUUCUCUUAUUUGCCAUCAAAAGCAAAUAAGAGAGCAUGUAUGGCUAAGUUAAGUGUUCAGAAUCACACAUCGAGUUAGUGGCAGUUACCGUUCCAACCCAGAUCUUCCAACUCCAUGCCCACUGCUCCUUACACUAACCAUGAAGGGCCUUGGCCUCAUAGAGCUUGUAGGGAAAGGUAAGUG
Molecule: long non-coding RNA, 2774 nt
Filed under: Homo sapiens (human)
Lineage: Eukaryota; Metazoa; Chordata; Mammalia; Primates; Hominidae
Description: HSALNT0236580
Source: RNAcentral